RNAcentral lists this long non-coding RNA (908 nucleotides) under Equus caballus (horse). RNAcentral describes it as "lncRNA (ENSECAG00000053981.1)". Lineage: Eukaryota; Metazoa; Chordata; Mammalia; Perissodactyla; Equidae. The record is from RNAcentral.
GUUUUGCUCAAUUUAAGAAAAUUCCAAAGAUUAGAAGAACUGGAAAGAACUAAAGAGAGUUCUUUAGAACUCUCCAGCUGGAACGGGAAGAGUAAAUGAAACAGGACCGACGCUGUCACUGGAAACAUCCAGGAGAACAGGCUGGCUGUGAGCAUAUUCCCCAGGGAGGAGGUCCCUGCACUGGGUGUGAGUCUGUUUGUUUUUUAAUUCACCCUUGGAUUCGAGGGGGCCAGGAUCACCCUUUGUUUCCAUGCUUCCACUUCUUAAGUUUCCCAGCCUUUUAACUUCCAAGCCUUCUUCCUAUGUGCUCAGGGAGCAGAUUUUUUCCCGGAUAGUCUUCUACUCUCCGUUCUUUCUGAGCUGUAUGAGUUUUAGGUUUUAUUUUCUACUAAACUGAUUGAGUAUUUGUUACAGAGAAGCAGCAGGCACAGCAGGCCACUCUGUAGUCUCCAGAACGAGCUGCCGGGUCCAGCCUCGCCUUCCCCUCACUGCUAUGUGAUUCUGCCUGCCUAGUUAAUCCAGUUUAACCUUGGCCUAUUUCUUGUGUGAAAACCUCAAACUGCUCCUGGGUCUGAUUUUCACCUAGUGCCCUGCUCAAGACAGGUAGUGUUCAGGCAAUGCAAAUGCAAACCUGGCUCGAAGCCGCCUUCUGCAAUGUGGAAGUUCUCCUCCCACCACACCCUCAUCAAAUCUGGGUGACAGCGACAGAGUGGUGCCCCUGAAAUCAGACUGUCUUGCUUCAGACAUCGUUCAAUCCUUCUGUGUCCCCCUGCUGUCUCUGAAGCUUCAAGGACAAUGCUGGACUUACUCAAAGGAGUACUGUGAGAAUCAGACUUGCCCUUGACACUCCACACAUGCUCGUCAUCAUCCUCACCGUUACUGCCAUUUGUGGUGGCUUCUAGUGUGUC